RNAcentral lists this ribosomal RNA (435 nucleotides) under Bacillus cereus. RNAcentral describes it as "bacterial SSU rRNA". It matches the Rfam family "Bacterial small subunit ribosomal RNA", at positions 104 to 524 of the family's 1533-position model. Lineage: Bacteria; Bacillati; Bacillota; Bacilli; Caryophanales; Bacillaceae. The record is from RNAcentral.
AGGUUAAACACGUGGGGGUAACCUGCCCAUAAGACUGGGAUAACUCCGGGAAACCGGGGCUAAUACCGGAUAACAUUUUGAACCGCAUGGUUCGAAAUUGAAAGGCGGCUUCGGCUGUCACUUAUGGAUGGACCCGCGUCGCAUUAGCUAGUUGGUGAGGUAACGGCUCACCAAGGCAACGAUGCGUAGCCGACCUGAGAGGGUGAUCGGCCACACUGGGACUGAGACACGGCCCAGACUCCUACGGGAGGCAGCAGUAGGGAAUCUUCCGCAAUGGACGAAAGUCUGACGGAGCAACGCCGCGUGAGUGAUGAAGGCUUUCGGGUCGUAAAACUCUGUUGUUAGGGAAGAACAAGUGCUAGUUGAAUAAGCUGGCACCUUGACGGUACCUAACCAGAAAGCCACGGCUAACUAUGUGCCAGCAGCCGCGGUAAU